UAACGGCUAGAUUUUUUUUUACCACCGACGGUCCCGCCUUUUGUCCCGGUUGGAAGCUCCAACUAGGACAAAAGCCUCACCCUUGUGUCCUGGUUGGAGUUACCAACCGGGACAAAACGUUUACUCUGGUUGGUAAUUUCAACCGGGAGUAAACUCCCAACUGGGAUAAAAGUGCUUUGUUUUUGUCCCAGUUGGAAUUUUCAAUUGGGACAAAAACUCCUACCCUAUAAAAUCGCAAGACAGAGGUCUCUUCUUCCUCCUUCAGCUUCAG
Molecule: long non-coding RNA, 271 nt
Filed under: Setaria viridis
Lineage: Eukaryota; Viridiplantae; Streptophyta; Magnoliopsida; Poales; Poaceae
Description: long non-coding RNA (SVIR_LNC000982)
Source: RNAcentral